AUCCGCGCUGCAUUAGCUAGUUGGUAAGGUAACGGCUUACCAAGGCAACGAUGCAUAGCCGCCCUGAGAGGGUGAUCGGCCACACUGGAACUGAGACACGGUCCAGACUCCUACGGGAGGCAGCAGUAGGGAAUCUUCCGCAAUGGGCGAAAGCCUGACGGAGCAACGCCGCGUGAGUGAUGAAGGUCUUCGGAUCGUAAAACUCUGUUAUUAGGGAAGAACAUAUGUGUAAGUAACUGUGCACAUCUUGACGGUACCUAAUCAGAAAGCCACGGCUAACUACGUGCCAGCAGCCGCGGUAAUACGUAGGUGGCAAGCGUUAUCCGGAAUUAUUGGGCGUA
Molecule: ribosomal RNA, 341 nt
Filed under: Staphylococcus aureus
Lineage: Bacteria; Bacillati; Bacillota; Bacilli; Caryophanales; Staphylococcaceae
Description: bacterial SSU rRNA
Rfam family: Bacterial small subunit ribosomal RNA
Source: RNAcentral